ACGGAUAACAUACCGAAAGGUAUGCUAAUACGAGAUAAUAUGCUUUUAUCGCAUGGUAGAAGUAUCAAAGCUCCGGCGGUACAGGAUGGACCCGCGUCUGAUUAGCUAGUUGGUGAGGUAACGGCUCACCAAGGCGACGAUCAGUAGCCGACCUGAGAGGGUGAUCGGCCACAUUGGAACCGAGACACGGUCCAAACUCCUACGGGAGGCAGCAGUGGGGAAUAUUUCACAAAGGGCGAAAGCCUGAUGCAGCAA
This 255-nucleotide ribosomal RNA is filed under the name uncultured bacterium. RNAcentral's name for it is "partial 16S ribosomal RNA". It matches the Rfam family "Bacterial small subunit ribosomal RNA", at positions 139 to 394 of the family's 1533-position model. The record is from RNAcentral.